GCGGAAGUGGCUCAGUUGGUAGAGCGCCACCUUGCCAAGGUGGAUGUCGCGGGUCCGAGUCCCGUCUUCCGCUCCA
RNAcentral lists this transfer RNA (76 nucleotides) under Bacillota bacterium. RNAcentral's name for it is "Firmicutes bacterium (gut metagenome) tRNA-Gly". It matches the Rfam family "tRNA". From Rfam's summary of the family: Transfer RNA (tRNA) molecules are approximately 80 nucleotides in length. Lineage: Bacteria; Bacillati; Bacillota. The record is from RNAcentral.